Non-coding RNA from Acanthosepion pharaonis, 100 nucleotides. The record is from the annotation of a GenBank genome assembly. NCBI's taxonomy places the organism in Eukaryota, Metazoa, Mollusca, Cephalopoda, Sepiida, Sepiidae.
CGUUGAAACAUCGGCUCCCAUAUGAUCACCAAAGUAAAGCAACGUAGAACCUGGUCAGUAUCUAGAUGGGCGAACGUUUGGCAAUACCAGGUGCUGUAAG